RNAcentral lists this transfer RNA (86 nucleotides) under thiotrophic endosymbiont of Bathymodiolus puteoserpentis (Logatchev). RNAcentral describes it as "tRNA-Leu-GAG". It matches the Rfam family "tRNA". From Rfam's summary of the family: Transfer RNA (tRNA) molecules are approximately 80 nucleotides in length. Their secondary structure includes four short double-helical elements and three loops (D, anti-codon, and T loops). RNAcentral also lists the same sequence under 1 other name. Lineage: Bacteria; Pseudomonadati; Pseudomonadota; Gammaproteobacteria. The record is from RNAcentral.
GCCGACGUGGUGGAAUUGGUAGACACGCUACCUUGAGGGGGUAGUGGGCUACGCUUGUGCGAGUUCGACUCUCGCCGUCGGCACCA